Molecule: transfer RNA, 68 nt
Filed under: Inocellia digitiformis
Lineage: Eukaryota; Metazoa; Arthropoda; Insecta; Raphidioptera; Inocelliidae
Also listed under: 1 other name
Description: tRNA-Phe
Source: RNAcentral
AUUCAUAUAGCUUAUAAUUAGAGUUUAAUAUUGAAGAUAUUAAGGAAAAUAAAUUUAUUUUAUGAAUA